AGGAUUAGGAUUUAGGAUCUAGGAUUAGAGUUUAAGGUUUACUUUUUGGGUUUAGGGUGUAUGACUUGAGUUUAGGGUAUAGAGUUUAGGUUUAUAGUCUUGUUUUUGGGUUUAGGGUAUAUAAUUUGGGUUUAGAGUCUAGGAUUAGGGUUUAGGAUUUGGGUUUAGGGGUUUGGAUUUGGGUUUAGAAUUUAGGGUAUAUGGUUUAGAAUUUAAGAUUUAGGGUUUAGGGUUUAGCUGUAAGCGUUAGCGUCGUUAAAAUUAGCGUUUUUAUUUUUUGUAG
Molecule: long non-coding RNA, 283 nt
Filed under: Brassica napus (rape)
Lineage: Eukaryota; Viridiplantae; Streptophyta; Magnoliopsida; Brassicales; Brassicaceae
Description: long non-coding RNA (BNAP_LNC019045)
Source: RNAcentral